CACCCACGACCGCCAUGCGGAGGACGACUUAAUCAAUGAAAAUCCAGUGAGCGUGAGGGGAUUGGGGUGUGUACGAGGUCGGGGGAUGCCCAGAGAUUCGUUUGCCUUUUUGCGUUCGACAGCACCAAAAACGUGAAUGCGGAACUCUAUUGAUUUUGCAAUAAAAAUGCGCGCGCAUGGCUCUGCUCUGUUCUGCUCUGAGAUUUGGCUCCAAAGCUAACAUAUGCCACACGACCCCCAAACGAAGAGACAUCUCGUGGAGCACGCGACGGUGGCGGCAUGUUGUCGGCGGUCAGUGAGGCGCCAGAGAGCGGAGCGGAGCAGAGCCGAAUGCAUUCUAUUCACCAUUCGCCAAUCCGAAAUCACUCGCAACGCGAACUUUGCAGAGCAAAGCCAGAGCCUUGGGCCCAGUCUGAAAAUUGUCACGAGCCCCAAGCACGGCAGCUGCUAGCUGCUGGUCGCCAAUCAAGCAAAGAAAUAAUUACCAAAAAUACAUAGUAGCAAAAAAAGCCAAUAACUAAAUCAGAAAUCAGUCUACGAAUAGCCCCCGCACCAACCGCGCUCAAAAAGGGAAACUGAGAGUUUGCAGAGGGAGCGGCAAAGACAAAGGAGAGACUUUCUGGCCAGGCCGUAGCAGCAGCACGUGAUGCAAUUGGGUUCCGUAUGGGGCCAGAAACGUUUAAAGUGAAAUCAAAUAAAAAUCGAUAGGCCCUAGCUUGCCUACGAAAAGUGUCAUUCCAUCUGGAACUCCACCAAAAACGUGCGCGCAGCCCGUGAAGUUUCAGAUUCGAGUCCCGCGGUACACCCCACACACAAAGGAAAAGCAUACGCAAACGACGGUGCCAGGCGUUAUAUAAGACAGAGGCACAGGCACAGGUUCAGGCUGAGGCUGAAGCUGAGGCUUUUCGCCCUCCCACGCAUAAACUGUUUGCUCAAUCGAUAGACUGCCCUCUGCCUGCCCCUCCCACUGCCUGCCAAUCCGAGAUGAUGUGUGCUCUUAAUUAGAUUACAACCCAGGGAUUAGCCACAGCAAUUAGAGAGAGGAGAGAACAAAACACCUGCCACUUGCCACCAGCCACGAGCCACCCGUUUAAAGUAAAGCAAAGCCAACACACACGAAAUGGGCAAGAAAAAGGUGGCCACAGAGGAUCUGGUUGUGCCGCCGCAGGAUACCAGAAUCUGUGGCACCAUCUGCAUCUGCCAGAUGACACUGGUGCUCAGUUCAGUGGCUCUGGUCUACCUCACGGUGGCCAUCUACAUGCCGUCCACGCGUGCCUUCAAGAGCGGCAUCGAUCCCACUCCCGUGAUGUGCACCACCACGCGGGCAUUGAACAAGGACAACUGCGAGUGGGGCAGCUGCGGGGAGUGGUGCCUGAGCAAGACGUCGGGUGCCUGCAUCCAGAUCUACGUGAAUCUGCGCGCCAAUGGCUCCAAUCUCAUCUUCCAGAACUGCACGAAUUCGGCGAACAAGACGUGCUACGGCAUCGACCAGGAUCGGGCGGACAAGGCGCGCUGCAUCAAUGACGAGUGCAAGAACCUCACGGGCACAUUCAACUGCACCGCCGGCCAGUGCCUGAACAUCACGGACGCCUUCGAGUGCGUUUUCCACAACAGCGAUGCUCCGGUGAAGUGCUCGGGUCGUCGCGGCAAGAUCAACUGCAUGGACAUCAGCGGACUGUACUCGUGCAGCCGCGGGACUUGUCGCAAGAUCCGCACACCCUACAACUGCGACCGGAGGUGUGUGGACAUACCGACCAGGAACAAGAACGUGGUGGUGCUCAGCGGGGACAAGGUGUAUCUGUCGCAGUGUCAGAAUGCCAUCAAUGCGGAGACCAUGGAAGAGGUGUGGAACGAGUCCAGCGAAAAUGUGGCCAUGACUUCGUGCUACUACAUCAAGAACUCACCGGAUCGCGUGGAUGCGGUGGACUGCAUCAAUGGGUCGACGCUGGAGCACAAUAUGCUUACGGAUCUGACAAAUUUCACAUAUCUGAGCCACCUGCAUGUCUCGGUGGCCACGCCCGUGCCGGAGAUAGCACCGCCCGAUGUCGAUCUGACCAUCUCCAAUGAGUCCAAGCUGAUGAUUAAUCUCGAGGGAUGCGUUAACACCCUCAUGGACGAGUGCAAGGAGUUCCUCAAGGAUUUUGGACGCGAUGGCAGCGAUCAUAAUGCACGCGCACGCUUCCCUUGCUUCUAUUCGCCCGGCAAAAAGGAUGUGGUGGUGGCCCGCUUCGACCUGGAGGUCACCUAUCGCCAGUUUGUGUUCGCUUCGGUGGUGCCAUCGGUGCUCUUCGUUGUCUCCUGCUCCAUUCUGCUGAUGUGCCAGAAGACCGUCUACGUGGGCGACGACGCCAAGAUGCGUUUCAAGGGCUGCGUGGACACGGAGACCAUCCUGAACAAGAACAACGUCGGUGCACCCACCAACGGCGACAUGGGUGGGGGCGGUGGCGAUGAGGUUAUGGCCCUAUGAGAUCCGUCACGUAAGCAACAAUACCGCCUUUGCCAUUGCCCACAUGUGAAAGAGUGAGAGAUUCAUUCGGUUUCAGGCUACCAGGCAUUCCUCUGCUCCAGGAAGACAGUCCGAUACAUCAGACUGGGGUCUUCGCUUUGCAAUAAGUUGGAGUUGGCCACAACAAACCAGAAGAAGAGCAGCACAAUCGAGCAACUUGAAAUUCUUUGUAAUCCUUCCAUUGAACUUUUAACAAAACGACCACAAAACACAGCCACAGCCACAGCCACAGCUACACCUACACCCACACCAACCCAAAGGCUUGCAAGGACACUCCUGAGCUAAACACACAGGGAAAACCAGAAAACUUGAAACUAAAACUGAAACUCAAACUAAAACACGACGAGGCAAGGAGAAGGCGCGUGAAAUACUCGAAAAAGAAUACGACGAUCGAUACGACUCGAUCAGAAGACAAUAUUAGUAUAAUUUAUUGAAUUAAUUCGUUAUUAAUUGAGUUAUUUGUAUUUGUAUUUGCAUUGGAUUAGGGCCAGAGGCUUUAGGAAAUGUGAUGUAGGUAGCAAACAGACAGGGAGAAGCAGGGACGUCAGAGCGAGGAUUGAUUCCACAUUUAUUGUUAAUUAUGCAGCUAAGUUUUUUCUAGGAAUAAAGCGCACACCACACACACAUGCACAGGGACACAAGAACACACACCACCCACACACAGACACCAGGAGCAGAAGCAGCAGCAGCAGCAGCAGCAGGAAGAAGAAGGAGGAGGAACUGAGUCCGAAUCCGUUGAAAGGUUCAGGAGAAGGCAGAGACAUUUCAGAAUUGGUCCAAACAACAAAACAACAGCAGCUUAAGAAGAAGAUUAGGAGGGAUGCGUGAUCAAAAAAAAAGAAAAACAAAAACAAAACUUCUAUAAACUAUAAAAAAACGAAAUCUCGGAACGACAAAAAAGUAUUCAAAGUCGAAGACGAAGCAAAAAAGUUAAACCUAAAGCAAAAACC
RNA transcript from Drosophila subobscura, 3456 nucleotides. RefSeq lists it as uncharacterized. The record is from RefSeq and is a predicted model, not a curated record. The transcript is spliced from 3 exons. NCBI's taxonomy places the organism in Eukaryota, Metazoa, Arthropoda, Insecta, Diptera, Drosophilidae.